RNAcentral lists this ribosomal RNA (485 nucleotides) under uncultured bacterium. RNAcentral's name for it is "bacterial SSU rRNA". It matches the Rfam family "Bacterial small subunit ribosomal RNA", at positions 28 to 518 of the family's 1533-position model. The record is from RNAcentral.
GAUGAACGCUAGCGGCAGGCUUAAUACAUGCAAGUCGAGGGGCAUCAAGGUACACGAAAGUGUAUUGUUGGCGACCGGCGGACGGGUGAGUAAUAGGUAGGUAACCUACCUCAUACUGAGGCAUAGCUGGGAGAAAUUCCAGGUAAUUCCUCAUGAGGUUAUAUGACACAUGUGAUAUAAUCAAAGGUAUCGCAAGGUACUGGUAUGAGAUGGGCUUACUGACCAUUAGCUAGUUGGUGAGAUAAGAGCUCACCAAGGCGAAGAUGGUUAGGGGUUUUGAGAGAGAGAUCCCCCACAUUGGAACUGAGAUACGGUCCAGACUCCUACGGGAGGCAGCAGUGGGGAAUAUUGCACAAUGGGCGAAAGCCUGAUGCAGCAACGUCGCGUGAGCGAAGAAGGCCUUUGGGUCGUAAAGCUCUGUCGGGUAGGAAGAUAAUGACGGUACUACCCGAGGAAGCCCCGGUAACUACGUGCCAGCAGCCGAC